Molecule: ribosomal RNA, 405 nt
Rfam family: Bacterial small subunit ribosomal RNA
UGGGGAAUAUUGCACAAUGGGGGAAACCCUGAUGCAGCAACGCCGCGUGAAGGAUGAAGGUUUUCGGAUUGUAAACUUCUUUUGUAGAGGACGAACACAAUGACGGUACUCUAAGAAUAAGCCACGGCUAACUACGUGCCAGCAGCCGCGGUAAUACGUAGGUGGCGAGCGUUAUCCGGAUUUACUGGGUGUAAAGGGCGAGUAGGCGGGUUUGCAAGUCAGAUGUGAAAUACCGGGGCUCAACUCCGGGGCUGCAUUUGAAACUGUAAAUCUUGAGUGAUGGAGAGGCAGGCGGAAUUCCCGGUGUAGCGGUGGAAUGCGUAGAUAUCGGGAGGAACACCAGUGGCGAAGGCGGCCUGCUGGACAUUAACUGACGCUGAGGAGCGAAAGCGUGGGGAGCAAACA